RNAcentral lists this ribosomal RNA (54 nucleotides) under Saprolegnia australis. RNAcentral's name for it is "partial 28S ribosomal RNA". Lineage: Eukaryota; Oomycota; Saprolegniomycetes; Saprolegniales; Saprolegniaceae. The record is from RNAcentral.
AAUUUGGACCUGAUAUCAAACAAGACUACCCGCUGAACUUAAGCAUAUCAAUAA